CGGACAGGGGGGUUCCCGCUCUCACCGAACGGGGCCUGUCCGAUCAGGUCACGCUCCAAGGCGUGGCCCAUGGUUGUCGCUCGGGGGUGAUCGCCG
This 96-nucleotide small RNA is filed under the name Streptomyces vietnamensis. RNAcentral describes it as "che1 RNA". It matches the Rfam family "che1 RNA". Lineage: Bacteria; Bacillati; Actinomycetota; Actinomycetes; Kitasatosporales; Streptomycetaceae. The record is from Rfam by way of RNAcentral.